RNAcentral lists this ribosomal RNA (2903 nucleotides) under Escherichia coli. Its description in RNAcentral is "23S ribosomal RNA". It matches the Rfam family "Bacterial large subunit ribosomal RNA". The record is from RNAcentral. Lineage: Bacteria; Pseudomonadati; Pseudomonadota; Gammaproteobacteria; Enterobacterales; Enterobacteriaceae.
GGUUAAGCGACUAAGCGUACACGGUGGAUGCCCUGGCAGUCAGAGGCGAUGAAGGACGUGCUAAUCUGCGAUAAGCGUCGGUAAGGUGAUAUGAACCGUUAUAACCGGCGAUUUCCGAAUGGGGAAACCCAGUGUGUUUCGACACACUAUCAUUAACUGAAUCCAUAGGUUAAUGAGGCGAACCGGGGGAACUGAAACAUCUAAGUACCCCGAGGAAAAGAAAUCAACCGAGAUUCCCCCAGUAGCGGCGAGCGAACGGGGAGGAGCCCAGAGCCUGAAUCAGUGUGUGUGUUAGUGGAAGCGUCUGGAAAGGCGCGCGAUACAGGGUGACAGCCCCGUACACAAAAAUGCACAUGCUGUGAGCUCGAUGAGUAGGGCGGGACACGUGGUAUCCUGUCUGAAUAUGGGGGACCAUCCUCCAAGGCUAAAUACUCCUGACUGACCGAUAGUGAACCAGUACCGUGAGGGAAAGGCGAAAAGAACCCCGGCGAGGGGAGUGAAAAAGAACCUGAAACCGUGUACGUACAAGCAGUGGGAGCCUCUUAAUGGGGUGACUGCGUACCUUUUGUAUAAUGGGUCAGCGACUUAUAUUCUGUAGCAAGGUUAACCGAAUAGGGGAGCCGAAGGGAAACCGAGUCUUAACUGGGCGUUAAGUUGCAGGGUAUAGACCCGAAACCCGGUGAUCUAGCCAUGGGCAGGUUGAAGGUUGGGUAACACUAACUGGAGGACCGAACCGACUAAUGUUGAAAAAUUAGCGGAUGACUUGUGGCUGGGGGUGAAAGGCCAAUCAAACCGGGAGAUAGCUGGUUCUCCCCGAAAGCUAUUUAGGUAGCGCCUCGUGAAUUCAUCUCCGGGGGUAGAGCACUGUUUCGGCAAGGGGGUCAUCCCGACUUACCAACCCGAUGCAAACUGCGAAUACCGGAGAAUGUUAUCACGGGAGACACACGGCGGGUGCUAACGUCCGUCGUGAAGAGGGAAACAACCCAGACCGCCAGCUAAGGUCCCAAAGUCAUGGUUAAGUGGGAAACGAUGUGGGAAGGCCCAGACAGCCAGGAUGUUGGCUUAGAAGCAGCCAUCAUUUAAAGAAAGCGUAAUAGCUCACUGGUCGAGUCGGCCUGCGCGGAAGAUGUAACGGGGCUAAACCAUGCACCGAAGCUGCGGCAGCGACACUAUGUGUUGUUGGGUAGGGGAGCGUUCUGUAAGCCUGUGAAGGUGUACUGUGAGGUAUGCUGGAGGUAUCAGAAGUGCGAAUGCUGACAUAAGUAACGAUAAAGCGGGUGAAAAGCCCGCUCGCCGGAAGACCAAGGGUUCCUGUCCAACGUUAAUCGGGGCAGGGUGAGUCGACCCCUAAGGCGAGGCCGAAAGGCGUAGUCGAUGGGAAACAGGUUAAUAUUCCUGUACUUGGUGUUACUGCGAAGGGGGGACGGAGAAGGCUAUGUUGGCCGGGCGACGGUUGUCCCGGUUUAAGCGUGUAGGCUGGUUUUCCAGGCAAAUCCGGAAAAUCAAGGCUGAGGCGUGAUGACGAGGCACUACGGUGCUGAAGCAACAAAUGCCCUGCUUCCAGGAAAAGCCUCUAAGCAUCAGGUAACAUCAAAUCGUACCCCAAACCGACACAGGUGGUCAGGUAGAGAAUACCAAGGCGCUUGAGAGAACUCGGGUGAAGGAACUAGGCAAAAUGGUGCCGUAACUUCGGGAGAAGGCACGCUGAUAUGUAGGUGAAGCGACUUGCUCGUGGAGCUGAAAUCAGUCGAAGAUACCAGCUGGCUGCAACUGUUUAUUAAAAACACAGCACUGUGCAAACACGAAAGUGGACGUAUACGGUGUGACGCCUGCCCGGUGCCGGAAGGUUAAUUGAUGGGGUUAGCGGUAACGCGAAGCUCUUGAUCGAAGCCCCGGUAAACGGCGGCCGUAACUAUAACGGUCCUAAGGUAGCGAAAUUCCUUGUCGGGUAAGUUCCGACCUGCACGAAUGGCGUAAUGAUGGCCAGGCUGUCUCCACCCGAGACUCAGUGAAAUUGAACUCGCUGUGAAGAUGCAGUGUACCCGCGGCAAGACGGAAAGACCCCGUGAACCUUUACUAUAGCUUGACACUGAACAUUGAGCCUUGAUGUGUAGGAUAGGUGGGAGGCUUUGAAGUGUGGACGCCAGUCUGCAUGGAGCCGGCCUUGAAAUACCACCCUUUAAUGUUUGAUGUUCUAACGUUGGCCCCUGAUCGGGGUUGCGGACAGUGUCUGGUGGGUAGUUUGACUGGGGCGGUCUCCUCCUAAAGAGUAACGGAGGAGCACGAAGGUUGGCUAAUCCUGGUCGGACAUCAGGAGGUUAGUGCAAUGGCAUAAGCCAGCUUGACUGCGAGCGUGACGGCGCGAGCAGGUGCGAAAGCAGGUCAUAGUGAUCCGGUGGUUCUGAAUGGAAGGGCCAUCGCUCAACGGAUAAAAGGUACUCCGGGGAUAACAGGCUGAUACCGCCCAAGAGUUCAUAUCGACGGCGGUGUUUGGCACCUCGAUGUCGGCUCAUCACAUCCUGGGGCUGAAGUAGGUCCCAAGGGUAUGGCUGUUCGCCAUUUAAAGUGGUACGCGAGCUGGGUUUAGAACGUCGUGAGACAGUUCGGUCCCUAUCUGCCGUGGGCGCUGGAGAACUGAGGGGGGCUGCUCCUAGUACGAGAGGACCGGAGUGGACGCAUCACUGGUGUUCGGGUUGUCAUGCCAAUGGCACUGCCCGGUAGCUAAAUGCGGAAGAGAUAAGUGCUGAAAGCAUCUAAGCACGAAACUUGCCCCGAGAUGAGUUCUCCCUGACUCCUUGAGAGUCCUGAAGGAACGUUGAAGACGACGACGUUGAUAGGCCGGGUGUGUAAGCGCAGCGAUGCGUUGAGCUAACCGGUACUAAUGAACCGUGAGGCUUAACCUU